CCCUGCCAUUUGUACACACCGCCCGUCGCUCCUACCGAUGAAUGAUCCGGUGAAAUCUUGGGAUUGAACAGAAUCCAACUUUGUUGUGUCUGUUUAAAAACUUGCUUGAACCUUGUCAUUUAGAGGAAGGAGAA
RNAcentral lists this ribosomal RNA (134 nucleotides) under uncultured eukaryote. RNAcentral describes it as "partial small subunit ribosomal RNA". It matches the Rfam family "Eukaryotic small subunit ribosomal RNA", at positions 1651 to 1787 of the family's 1831-position model. The record is from RNAcentral.